UUAGCGCACGUUAAAUCUUGCGUUUGUCCACAUUGUCAUUUGUGUACGUCAUUUAUUUUUAGCUACACAUUUCUGAUUAUUGCAACAACAAAAACAUAAGAUCCGUUUUAACACAAUUCACAGGCUCACUGAAAACAAUUGAGGACUGCAGACAAAAAUAUAAAUAUUGUAAGACGUGGACGAAGUUGGUAUUUGUAUUAACCGCUGAGCCUGCAGUGCAAGCAGGCUAACUAACCUGAAGCGUAGCUGAAGCCUAGCUUCUCUAAACGGCAUUAUUCACAGGAAAAUCUGCAUCUGUUCAGCAACUACAAAAAUAAAAAUGACUUCAGCCUCAACGAAGGUUGGGGAGAUCUUCUCAGCAGCAGGAGCUGCUUUCACCAAGUUAGGGGAGCUGACCAUGCAACUGCACCCCGUAGCUGACUCCAGUCCCGCAGGAGCUAAGUGGACGGACACUGAGAUUGGGCAGCUGAGAUCGGCCGUGGUGAGGUUUGGUGAUGACCUGAACUCCCUCAGCACUGUUAUCAAGGAACGCACCGUGGUCCAGAUUAAAAGUACAGUGAAGAGGAAGCUCUAUGACGAGACUGGGAUGCCCAUUUCCACCGACUCCCCAAAAAAGACCGCCAAGAAGACUGCUGUUACCAUGGCCACCACGGCAACCCCAACUGUCAUUGCUGUGCCGACCUCACAGGUUGUCAUGAAGGCAGGUGUCCAGGGAAAUGUGACUCUGGCCAUUCCCACCAUGAAGAAACAGAAGUCUGCAGCAGAUGUGACUCUGAGUGCUCUGAAUGACUCUGACGUCAACUCUGACCUGGUAGACAUAGAGGGACUGGGAGAGGGAUCCAACUCCAAGAAACUCAACUUCGAUCAGGGGUCUACAGACAAUCACGGACUACAAAGGAAAAACCAGCCAUGUCGCGGACAUCGUCUUGUUUCCGGUCAAGCUAAACACCUUCGCCCGCUUUGAGGAUAAAACAGUGCCACCUACACGGCCCGUUACCAAGGACUGUGGGCUCUCCUUCCCUGUGGCCGACACAACCUGAACCUCGACUCCAGCUUCAUUAUGAACUCGUGACCUGCCGCCCCUCUCUCGUUGACCAAGAUGUUUUCAUUAGCACCCUAUUUCCUACAUAGUGCACUACUUUUGACUGGAGCCUUAUGGACCCUGGUCAAAUGUAAUCCACUAAAUAGGGAUUAGAGUGCAAUUUGAGACGCAGCCCCCGACAUCUAUGGACAACAGCCGAGAUCCUUCAGAUUUGAUUUGGCGGAUCUCUGGGUGCAUCUGAAAUGGCACCUUAUUCCCUGCUUUUUUUAGCCAAGGCCUAUGAGGGGUGCAAAUUUCUCUUGCAUGAGGAAUGUGUUGGAUGUAAAUAAUGGUAUUUUUAUUUAUUCAUACAUGAUUGAUUUGUACUACACAAAAAGCUAAUGUGCAGAGCUGCAUGGCCAAGGACUACAGUGUGUAGAUUUUGUCAUCUUGGUUUAUGUCAACUAUAUGUGGGAUAGGUGGCCCUGCAAAUUCCCAUUUGACAAUGAUGCAACUGCAAACUUGUUUCCGGAAUCAUGUACUUGUGAACCCAGUGUUGAGCUCACCAGUAAAUUAAACUGGUAUUUGAAAAGCAUACUGGAUAAUAUAGAUGAACACAAUUGUGUCAAAGGACAGGAAUUAGUUUAGUGACGUUUUCUGUUUGAAACAGUGGGAUUAUUUUAUUGUUCAAAACAUGACCCAUGUAAUUUUGGGGGGAAAUAUUUCUCAGUAAGUUACUGACAAACAUUUGUAGUUUUAUAUAGAGGCUUACUCUAAAGACAAUCAAAUGAACUGUGCGAUUUGCUGAAUUAUGUUGAAUAAAUUGACAAAUUACCAACUAGAAUUUAACUUUCAGGAGUCAUGUCACUCAAUGUGUAGUCUUUAUUGAAAUUAGAUUUUAUACAAUUAAACACUGGUGGGCACAGUAAGUGUAAAAAUAAAAACCACCAAAUAGGUGCAGUGAUGUUUUAGUGUCAGCCAUAUUAGUAUGGCUCACACCCCUGGAGCAAAUUAGGAUUAAGUGCCUUUGCACUAGGGCACAGAGAUUUUUCACCUUGUUGGUUUAGGUAUUUGAACCAGCAACCUUUUGGUUACUGGCUCAAAGCUCGAACUGCUAGAGUGAUUAAAUACUAGGGCUGUGAAAUCAGGCCAAUUUCCAGCCAUUUAUGCUUACACAAUAUCCCCAACUUUAUAAAACGAAGUAAUAUAUUCAAAUUAUCACCAACCCUCAAUAGUACACAUAAUGAGGGACAGCCAUGGACAUAGUAAAAAUAUGCCACUGUAAUAGCACUAACACAGGGCUUCUUCUGAUAAAACAUAA
This is an RNA transcript of Oncorhynchus mykiss (rainbow trout), 2342 nucleotides long. It is a transcript of the gene named BPTF-associated chromatin complex component 1, with no coding region annotated. The record is from RefSeq and is a predicted model, not a curated record. NCBI's taxonomy places the organism in Eukaryota, Metazoa, Chordata, Actinopteri, Salmoniformes, Salmonidae.